UUUCCCAUUUGACUACCACUUUUUCUCUUAAUAGUAGAUUUUAGUGUCUAUGCUUAUGGGAUAUAUUAAAAUUGCCAUGAUCUGAAGAGAGAGGUUUCUUUUUCGGUGGUGUCCUUCUAUAUGAAAUGGCUUAAGAGAAAGUU
Molecule: small nucleolar RNA, 143 nt
Organism: Nycticebus coucang (slow loris)
Lineage: Eukaryota; Metazoa; Chordata; Mammalia; Primates; Lorisidae
Product: small nucleolar RNA SNORA29
Exons: 1
Source: RefSeq, a predicted model, not a curated record